GAUGAACGCUGGCGGCGUGCCUAACACAUGCAAGUCGAACGAAGCACCUUUCCUGAUUCUUCGGAUGAAAGUUUGGUGACUGAGUGGCGGACGGGUGAGUAACGCGUUGGUAACCUGCCCUGCACAGGGGGAUAACAGCUGGAAACGGCUGCUAAUACCGCAUAAGCGCACGAGGAGACAUCGCCUUGUGUGAAAAACUCGGGUGGUACAGGAUGGGCCCGCGUCUGAUUAGCUGGUUGGCAGGGGAACGGCCUACCAAGGCAACGAUCAGUGGCCGGGCGGAGAGGAUGACCGGGCACAUUGGAACUGAGACACGGUCCAAACUCCUACGGGAGGCAGCAGUGGGGAAUAUUGCACAAUGGGGGAAACCCUGAUGCAGCAACGCCGCGUGAGUGAAGAAGUAGUUCGGUAUGUAAAGCUCUAUCAGAAGGGAAGAUAAUGACGGUACCUGACUAAGAAGCUCCGGCUAAAUACGUG
This 477-nucleotide ribosomal RNA is filed under the name uncultured bacterium. RNAcentral describes it as "partial 16S ribosomal RNA". It matches the Rfam family "Bacterial small subunit ribosomal RNA", at positions 28 to 507 of the family's 1533-position model. The record is from RNAcentral.